GUACUCACCUUGUGUGCAAUGUUUGCUGUCAAGUCGUUUAUUCGUCUUGAUAGCACAAUACCAACCUUUAUUGUAAAUUUUUUGUCUGAAGCUAUUUCGAAUAUAUAAUUCUAAAUACAACUUUCAACAACGGAUCUCUUGGCUCUCGCAUCGAUGAAGAACGCAGCGAAAUGCGAUACGUAAUGUGAAUUGCAGAAUUCAGUGAAUCAUCGAAUCUUUGAACGCACAUUGCACUCUCUGGUAUUCCGGAGAGUAUGCUUGUUUGAGUAUCUGUAAACAUCUCAAAUCUCUCUUCGCUUGCGUCGAGAGAAUUGGAUUUGAGCGAUCCCGACUCCUUCGUCAGAAAGAGGAGGGUCGCUUGAAAUGCAGGUACCAGCUGGACAUUCUUCUGAGCUAAAAGCAUAUCUAUUUAGUCCCGUCAAACGGAUUAUUACUUUUGCUUCAGCUAAUAUAAAGGUCGAAUGAACUACCAACGCUGAUUGCAGGAAAACUUGUCCGUUUAUUCGGACUUGUAAACUCGAUCUCAAAUCAAGUAAGACUACCCGCUGAACUUAAGCAUAUCAAUAA
This 567-nucleotide ribosomal RNA is filed under the name Mortierella sp. GW20-2. RNAcentral's name for it is "eukaryotic LSU rRNA". The stretch from base 119 to 272 matches the Rfam family "5.8S ribosomal RNA". The record is from RNAcentral. Lineage: Eukaryota; Fungi; Mortierellomycota; Mortierellomycetes; Mortierellales; Mortierellaceae.